Molecule: long non-coding RNA, 1047 nt
Organism: Uloborus diversus
Lineage: Eukaryota; Metazoa; Arthropoda; Arachnida; Araneae; Uloboridae
Exons: 4
Source: RefSeq, a predicted model, not a curated record
GAGAUAUUAGCUUAUAAACUCCAUGUCUGUUUCUGUCAGACCCCCAGAGAGACAGAAGUGUUUCUCAGCUCGUCACUCAGUCCCAUAAUCUGAAAAUAAAACUGUUUUGAUGUGUGACACUGACAGCUUUCAAUUCAUUUUCUAUAUUCUACAAACUUGCUAAUGCUGAGGUUUGAUGCACUGGGUAGUGAUUGCAUCUGAUUGGUGAUCUGAUAAAAGAAUUUUAUUAUGUCUCCUUUGAAGAAAUUUUUCUCUCCCAAAACUUCAUCAAAUAGCAUCCUAAAACGUGUCGAUGAGGGUUUGGAGUACAAAGAUGUCUCAUUGAAGCUUGCUGAAAGUACUCUCCUUUUUGAAGACGGAAAAUGGCGCACAGAAAACCAAGACUCCAGAGAAGUAUUGGCUCUUCAAAAACAGAAACAAGAUUUAGUUGAAGAAAACAACUAUUUGAAAUUGAAAAUUGAAGUUUUAUUAAAUAUGUUAACCGAAGCCACAGUUAAAGGUCAUGAACAAAACUAAGCUCUGUGCUUCAUUAAUACUUGCAUUCUAGUACAAUGAAUAGAAAAAGUGCCUUGUUGAACAUUUCAUCACCAUGCAUAAAGUAGCUUUUGUAUUUAUUCCAUUGAAAUUUAAUACUAUGUUGUUUGUACAACUGAUACAGACUGCAAUAAAAUACUCUAUAGAAGUGCUGUUUGUGUUGAGGCAAAAAAUCUAAAGAUAUAAAAAAAAUGUAAGGUUUGUAGACUAAGUGCCAAGGUUGGCAACGUUUUGGACACUAUGGUAAAAGCCAUGGAUUUUACUGUUUAGAACCCUUGUGUCCAAGUACUAUAUUUUUAGUUAAAUUAUAUUUUGUGAGAAAAUAUCAACAGAAUAAAACACAUUAAAGUAAUAUUCAAUAUUAAAAAAAUAUUGUCUGUGAAUGUUCAAGUAUUUAUCUUUAAAAUUAACAUUUAAAACUGAUUAAUAGUUGCUAAUUCUAAUCUAGUUCAUAGAAGUUGCAUUUCUUAAUUAAAAAUUUAAAAUAAAAUGCAUGAAUUUUUUUUUUUUUUU